RNAcentral lists this unclassified non-coding RNA (309 nucleotides) under Bombus terrestris (buff-tailed bumblebee). RNAcentral describes it as "misc RNA ENSBTSG00005020154.1". The record is from RNAcentral. Lineage: Eukaryota; Metazoa; Arthropoda; Insecta; Hymenoptera; Apidae.
GUGGAUAAAUAAUACGAAGCAAAAGUUUACCUCUUGAUCUUUUCUUCCGUGGUCUGACCCGAGUUCUCGAUGUCUCGAACGAUCUCCGUGUACUUAGCAAUGAACGUCGUAAUAUCAGUGAUCAAAGCGAUGAACUGCUGUCGUAACAGAAGUAACUGGCGAAGUUUCGCAAUUUGCGAUUCUAUAGCCUUUAUGAGGAUGUCGAACUGCUGCAACCAAUCGCUUAUUCGCUCGUAUUCGUCCUUGUAAUCUCUCCAUUGACUCACGGUUUGUUCCAAUUGAUCCUUUUGUUGCUUGAUCUCUGUGGAA